ACCUUUCCCUCCCUCCCUCUCUCUCUCUCUCGCUCUCUCUCUCUCUCUCUCUCUCUCUCUCUACAACUUGGAGCAGAUCUAGUUUGGAUUUCCUUUAGCCUUUCCCCCUUCACUCGUUUUUAGGGUUUUGAAUAUGGCUUGGAGCAAAUCUAGUUGAGGCCGAAGCAUUUGGUGGAGGGUUUCUUGUAGAAAUUGCAUUUUACGUGCUGAAGAAAGCGGAAGAGGAGUUCGAUUUCCAGACGUGCAGGGGCCUAAUUUUAUUAUGUGAGGUGGGUUUUUUCAAAGGGGUUUUGAAGAUACUCGAGAAGGACGAGCAAAAUUCUAUGGGGUGGGACUGGAAGAGGUUUUUAAGGUAUUUUUUGAAGCUAAAAGAAAAGAAUGGCCAAUUGAGAAGCUGAGGAAGUUUGAGGUCCCCAAAGCUCCAAAAUAUAUUUUCCUAUCAUUUGUCUAAUGGGACAUGCACCAAUACACUCUACCAGCACUCUUAUGUAACCUGUCUUGCUGCAGCAGAAAAAAAAUGGCUCAAAGGAGAAUAUAUAUUCCUUACAACAACAAAACAAGGAAAUUUACAAAAGCUAUGCCAAGAAAAUAUGGUAACAUCCAUAGAUUUGUUGUAGAAAAACUCAACUUCGCCCAAUCAAGUCGACCUGAUCAUAUACCAUCAAGACUUGGGGAAAAAAAUCAAUUUAGUCAAGACUUGAAAGAAACUCGACUUGACUCAACAAAAUGAGGAAAGUUCACUGGUGCCCAUUUAGUGGACUGACACGAUUUCCACCGUCGUUUGAGUAAGUGUCGUUGCCCAUCUGUAUUAGUUCAUAUUUCCAUUAUUGCCUACUUAUGAUUUUUUUUUUCUCUCCACCACGCAUGAAUCUUUUGAUGCUCAAAACCAUUUAUUUGUAGGUUACCACACACAUCCUAACAAUCCAAUUAUUUGCUCGUCGUGAAGCUGAUAGUAAGAGGCAUAACAUUGUUGUCAUUUUUGAAAAUAAGGGGUAGUUGUUCAUACAGAAAUCGUUUGCCGCAAUCAAAAUACAGAAAUCAUCAUCAUCCUCCAUGGCAUGACCCAUCCACCUCCACAUGGCAUAAAUGUAUAUAUGGAGAUUCUUACAUGCAACCUGAACCAUCCAAAUCAUGAGGACUCUUUUCAAUCCUGGAUUUCAAAUCCUCAAAAGGGCCUCUUUUAAAAUUCAAGAGAAAAGGAGUGCAGAAAAUCCUGAAUUUUCAAUCCUCUUCAACUGUCAUCAUUGAAGAUUAUUGGUUGGUUCUUGUUUUAGUGCUCUUUUACAGUUUUAGUGCUCUUAUCCAUGAGCUGGAUUUCAUAAUGCAUUGAAGAUUAUUGGCUGGUUCUUGUUUUUCUUUUUUACAGUUUUAGUGCUCUUUUACACAAUAAAACAAUGUUAGUCUUUUUGUGAGUAAAUCUCCGCAUCCUUAUAAAUUUUUUGUGUUGGUUAUUAGGUCUCACAAUUUGUCAUUCAUGUAUAAGGUUUGCAUAUUAUGGAUAUAGUUGUCAAUUUCUGCAGGAUCAUUUAUGGAGAUAUUAGACAAUUCAUAUGUAAAAUGCAAGUUGGCUUUGGGAUCUACAGUAAACGUGCAUAACUGGGACCUACAGUAAAUGUGCCACUAUAAAGAAAACACCACAAUCCAUCUGAUGCUUCUAAGCAUACAUGAUUUAGAAAAGACCAUAGAAUGGAAGAUUGUUGUGGCAUGACUUGAAGAAAGGCGAUUUCUAUCAUCUAGUGGGAACUCCAAAGUCCUUUCACUUAUCAUCUAAGUCUUGUCAUCCAACAAUAUGAUUCAAGCAUUUGAAAUUAUGGCAAUUGCUGUGGUAGGGAACAACCUCAUAUGUUUGUCUUUUCAGCCUUCAGACUUUUACUGCAUGUCUGUCUUCAAUUAGUUGGGUUUCCGAUGGUGCUAUGUAGCUUAUAAUUUUCUACUAUCAUUUCGAAUUAUCUGCCAUAGUGUUCUUGCACCUGCAAGUUAUGACAAAAAUCUGGAUUGCAUGUGGUUGUAUUACUGAAGAAGUCUUCCGAGUCAAAGCCUAAACAAUUUGGGAUAUAAGAUUUUCCGCUUUGCUAUGAAAAUGUUGUGCAUUAGUGAUGUAUAAUUUCCAUUAUUGGAUGGUAUUAACGAGAUGGUCGUUCAUUAGUUUGACAGGUGUCCUUUGUUUGUGCAGCUAUGACUUAAAUAGUACCUAACCAUCCCAUUUUAUAGGCUAUUUGUUGGAUGAUUAGAAUAUUUGAUUUGUGUGUUUUUGAAGUGUGGUCCAUUGUAGCGAAAUGACACACUGUACAGAUGGAGUACAAAAGCCUUGCGAGCAUAUAGGUUUUGGUUUAUAACAACUUAAAGAUUUAGCUUAAUCAUCGCAGGGCAGAAUUCAUGGGUUGUGGCCGCGAGCAUGUUGUAAAGUUUAAGUGGUCUAGUAUGGAAGUUCUUCUUCAUCAGACUGAUGCCCAUGCCUCUGAAAGAUUUGGAUUUUAGGUACAUGGAAAAUGUUUGUAUAUGUCUGGACACUGAUAGCAUAGUAGUUAGAAUUUACAAACCAAGUCAGUUUGCUUUGCCCCCAAACUUUGUAAUGCCCUUUUGUUAAAUC
Magnolia sinica is the source of this 2590-nucleotide long non-coding RNA. RefSeq lists it as uncharacterized. NCBI's taxonomy places the organism in Eukaryota, Viridiplantae, Streptophyta, Magnoliopsida, Magnoliales, Magnoliaceae. The transcript is spliced from 9 exons. The record is from RefSeq and is a predicted model, not a curated record.